UCAGGAUGCGGUUAGGGUUAUUGGUUGUGAGAUGGGUUCCUUGUCGAUUUCUCAUUUGGGUGUUCCAAUUGGGUGUUGUAUGUCUUGUGUUUCUUCAUGGAUAAGUCUUUUCGAUCAUUUUCUACAUUGGCUUUUGGCUUGGAAAGCCAGAUUGGGUUAAUUGGGAGAGAGAGUCUUAGCAAGUAAAAAGGAAGGUGGGCUGUAGCGCUGUAAAAGAAUCGAACGAACACGGACGAUGGUUGUUCAUAUUUGUUCAUUUAAGUUAGCCAAACAAACGAACGAACAGAUAAACAAACAAAUUUUCUUGUUCAUGUUCGUUUAUUAAAAAAAUUACAUUGUUCAUGUUCGUUUGUUUAUGUUCGUGAACAUGCUAAACGAACAGAAAUAAACAAACAUAAUAAACAUAUAUAUGAACAUAAACAAACAUAUAAUAAAGUAAUGUAAUUAAACAUAACCGAACAUAUAUGAGUAUAAAAAGAACUUAACGAACGAACAUAAAUGAACAACAUAAAUGAAUUUUCAUAAACAGAAUUGAACGAACAAGACCAUUGUUCAUGUCCGUUCAUUUAACUAAAUGAAAGAGAAUUUGUGUUCAUGUUCGUACAUUUAUUAAAUAAACGCAUAAACGAACUUUUCGCCGAACGGUUCACAAACAAUUCACUGAACUUAGGAUUUGUUUACAGCCUAGUGGGUUGGGGGUUGGUAGUUUGUUUUCUUUCAAUACUUUUAAGAUCCACAUCUUGAAGUAGCCCAAACCUGUUUCAAAUGUUAUGUUAGAGAGUCCCCAAAUGAUCUAAGUGUGUGAAGUUUGUAAAAACUUGAGAAAUGUUCCAUUAGGUAUGCAUCUAAUUUUGGAAGAAAGAUUAUAAAAUGCUGGAUAAACAGAUAACAAUCAUAACAUAACCACAAAAGCUCAAAAUAAGUUUAUUUAGAUUGUUUCAACAACAUUGAACACAUGAACAUUUAGCCUAAGAACAUCUUGCCUAUUAAAUAUUUUUGAAGGAAGUCGAUAGCAUCGAAGCUAUAGUGCAACUAUAACAUAUACGAGCCUAGAGAGUGAAAUUAGGAUUUUAGGGUUCCGAUUGAUCUAUUUCGAUUAGGAAUUUAAGAAUCGGUUUUGGGGAAUUGGGGUUUCACAAGAUUAGGGCACUGCUUUAAAAUUUUAGAACCUAAUUAAUUGGUAAGGUCAAAAUGUUGAAAGAGUUUACCUCAUCUUUACGAAACCUAAAUCACACAACCCGACAGUCCAUGAGCAGGUUCUGACGGCAGCCAACUGCUCCGGCAACACCAUCAUCUCCGACAAUGCCUUCGUUUUCAAAACUAGUGAUUGUCUUCAGCUGAUCUGGACCAAACAACUAUCUCUAUAACUCAUUGUAUUGAGGUGGAAAGCUUAUUAACAACCUCUAAUUUGUUCCUAAAAUUUCAUCAUCGGCAGCCAAUUUGGAAGUUGAAUUUGACUUUCGCUGUGUGAGAAACCAUUUGUAGUUCACGUCGGACUCCAUCAGAGAUCUCACCGUCGUCCAUCGCCACGGCUGACUCCCCAGAGAAGCAUAAAGCUCAUUUUCACCUUUUUUUUUUCUGCAAGACAUCUUAUUUUUCCUUUCACUCUUCG
This 1612-nucleotide long non-coding RNA is filed under the name Lactuca sativa (garden lettuce). RNAcentral describes it as "long non-coding RNA (LSAT_LNC005948)". Lineage: Eukaryota; Viridiplantae; Streptophyta; Magnoliopsida; Asterales; Asteraceae. The record is from RNAcentral.